This 696-nucleotide ribosomal RNA is filed under the name uncultured Actinomycetes bacterium. RNAcentral's name for it is "bacterial SSU rRNA". It matches the Rfam family "Bacterial small subunit ribosomal RNA", at positions 162 to 868 of the family's 1533-position model. Lineage: Bacteria; Bacillati; Actinomycetota; Actinomycetes. The record is from RNAcentral.
GCUAAUACCGGAUACGACCUUUGAUCGGCAUCGAUCGGGGUGGAAAGUUCCGGCGGUCAAGGAUGGGCUCGCGGCCUAUCAGCUUGUUGGUGAGGUAACGGCUCACCAAGGCUUCGACGGGUAGCCGGCCUGAGAGGGCGACCGGCCACACUGGGACUGAGAUACGGCCCAGACUCCUACGGGAGGCAGCAGUGGGGAAUAUUGCGCAAUGGGCGAAAGCCUGACGCAGCAACGCCGCGUGCGGGAUGACGGCCUUCGGGUUGUAAACCGCUUUCAGCAGGGACGAAGCAACACGUGACGGUACCUGCAGAAGAAGCACCGGCCAACUACGUGCCAGCAGCCGCGGUGAUACGUAGGGUGCGAGCGUUGUCCGGAAUUAUUGGGCGUAAAGAGCUUGUAGGCGGUCUAUUGCGUCGAAAGUGAAAACUCAGGGCUCAACCCUGAGCCUGCUCUCGAUACGGGUAGACUUGAGGGAUGUAGGGGAGAACGGAAUUCUUGGUGGAGCGGUGGAAUGCGCAGAUAUCAGGAGGAACACCGGUGGCGAAGGCGGUUCUCUGGACAUUUCCUGACGCUGAGAAGCGAAAGCGUGGGUAGCAAACAGGCUUAGAUACCCUGGUAGUCCACGCCGUAAGCGGUGGGUACUAGGUGUGGGGGACAUUCCACGUUCUCCGUGCCGCAGCUAACGCAUUAAGUACC